GGGUAAGAGCCUACCAAUGCAGCGAUCGGUAGCUGGUCUGAGAGGAUGAGCAAGCACACUGGGACUGAGACACGGGCCAGACUCCUACGGGAGGCAGCAGUGGGGAAUUAUCCGCAAUGGGCGCAAGCCUGACGGAGCAACGCCCGCGUGUGGGAAGAAGGCUCUUGGGCUGUCAACCAGUUAUCUCAGGGAAGAAGUCCUGACGGUACCUAGAUGAAUCAGCCACGGCUAAACUCCGGUGCCAGCAGCCGCGGUAACUACGGCGGAGGCAAGCGUUAUCCGGACAUUAUUGGGCGUAACACCGUCCGAAGGGGGCACUUCAAGUACUGCCUGCACAACCGUACGGACCUUACCUCCGGAUCGGCACUGGAAACUGGAGUGCUAGAGGGCGACAGGGGUAGAGGGAAUUCCCAGCGUAGCGGUGAAAUGCGUAGAGAUCGGGAAGAACACCGGUGGCGAAAGCGCUCUACUGGGUCGCACCUGACCCUCAGGGACGAAAGCUAAGGUAGCGAAAGGGAUUAGAGACCCCUGCAGUCUUAGCCGUAAACGAUGGAUACUAGGCAUGGUUUGUAUCGACCCAAGCCGCGCCGAAGCUAACGCGUUAAGUAUCCCGCCUGGGGAGUACGCACGCAAGUGUGAAACUCAAAGGAAUUGACGGGGGCCCGCACAAGCGGUGGAGGAUGUGGUACAAUUCGAUGCAACGCGAAGAACCUUACCAGGGCUUGACAUCCCGCGAAUCUUGCUGAAAGGUGAGAGUGCCUUCGGGAGCGCGGAGACAGGUGGUGCAUGGCUGUAGUCAGCUCGUGUCGUGAGAUGUUGGGUUAAGUCCCGCAACGAGCGCAACCGUCGUCCUUAGUUGCCAGCAUUAAGUUGGGCACUCUAGGGAGACUGCCGGUGACAAACCGGAGGAAGGUGAGGAUGACGUCAAGUCAGCAUGCCCCUUAUGCUCUGGGCGACACACGUCCUACAAUGGUCGGGACAAAGGGGAGCAAGCUCGCGAGAGUAAGCGAAUCCCAGCAAACUCGGCCUCAGUUCAGAUUGCAGGCUGCAACUCGCCUGCAUGAAGGAGGAAUCGCUAGUAAUCGCAGGUCAGCAUACUGCGGUGAUUCGUUCCCGGGCCUUGUACACACCGCCCGUCACACCAUGAAGCUGCCAAGCCCGAAGUCGUUACCCUAACCGUUUGGAGG
This 1187-nucleotide ribosomal RNA is filed under the name uncultured organism. Its description in RNAcentral is "bacterial SSU rRNA". It matches the Rfam family "Bacterial small subunit ribosomal RNA", at positions 255 to 1449 of the family's 1533-position model. The record is from RNAcentral.